GAUCAUGGCUCAGAUUGAACGCUGUCGGCAGGCCUAACACAUGCAAGUCGAACGGUAACAGGAAGAAGCUUGCUUCUUUGCUGACGAGUGGCGGACGGGUGAGUAAUGUCUGGGAAACUGCCUGAUGGAGGGGGAUAACUACUGGAAACGGUAGCUAAUACCGCAUAACGUCGCAAGACCAAAGAGGGGGACCUUCGGCCUCUUGCCAUCGGAUGUGCCCGAGAUGGGAUUAGCUAGUAGGG
Molecule: ribosomal RNA, 242 nt
Filed under: uncultured bacterium
Lineage: Bacteria
Description: partial 16S ribosomal RNA
Rfam family: Bacterial small subunit ribosomal RNA
Source: RNAcentral